This 445-nucleotide ribosomal RNA is filed under the name uncultured bacterium. RNAcentral describes it as "bacterial SSU rRNA". It matches the Rfam family "Bacterial small subunit ribosomal RNA", at positions 1034 to 1502 of the family's 1533-position model. The record is from RNAcentral.
ACAGGUGCUGCAUGGCUGUCGUCAGUUCGUUCCGUGAGGAGUGCCCUUAAGUGAGACAACGAACGCAACCCCCAUCUUAUGUUACAAGUAUCAUAAGAGACUGCCCGAUCUUUGAUCGGGAGGAAGGAGGGGCAGACGUCAAGUCAGCAUGGUCCUUAUGCCUUGGGCUGCACACAUGUUACAAUGGGAAGAACAAUGAGCUUAGCAAAUCGGCGACGGUAAGCGAAUCUCAUAAAUCUUCUCUCAGUUGGGAUUGAAGGCUGAAACCCGCCUUCAUGAACUCGGAAUUGGUAGUAAUCGCGGGUCAGCUAUACCGCGGUGAAUACGUUCUUGCCUCUUGCACACACCGCCCGUCAAGCCAACAAAGUCGUUGGUAUUCGAACCUCGAUGUAUUUCGGGGGAGAGUACCGAUGGCGAUGAGGGUUAAGUCGUAACAAGGUAGCCG